AACUNACAAGGAUUCCCCUAGUAACUGCGAGUGAAGCGGGAAGAGCUCAAAUUUAAAAUCUGGCGGCCUUCUGGACGUCCGAGUUGUAGUCUGGAGAAGUGUUAUCCGCGUCGGACCGUGUACAAGUCUCCUGGAACGGAGCGUCAUAGAGGGUGAGAAUCCCGUCCAUGACACGGACGCCCGAUGCUAUGUGAGGCACUCUCGAAGAGUCGAGUUGUUUGGGAAUGCAGCUCAAAAUGGGUGGUAAAUUCCAUCUAAAGCUAAAUAUUGGCGAGAGACCGAUAGCGAACAAGUACCGUGAGGGAAAGAUGAAAAGCACUUUGGAAAGAGAGUUAAACAGUACGUGAAAUUGUUGAAAGGGAAACGCUUGAAGUCAGUCGCGUCCCGUGGAACUCAGCCUGGUUUCGACCUGGUGUACUUUCCAUGUGGACGGGUCAACAUCAAUUUCGGCCGGUGGACAAGGGCGAGGGGAAUGUAGCGUUGCUUCGGCGACGUGUUAUAGCCCCCCGUCGCAUACACUGGCUGGGAUUGAGGACCGCAGCACGCCCUUGUGGCCGGGGGGUUCGCCCCACGUAACGUGCUUAGGAUGUUGGCAUAAUGGCUUUAAGCGAC
Molecule: ribosomal RNA, 612 nt
Filed under: Tropicoporus linteus
Lineage: Eukaryota; Fungi; Basidiomycota; Agaricomycetes; Hymenochaetales; Hymenochaetaceae
Description: eukaryotic LSU rRNA
Rfam family: Eukaryotic large subunit ribosomal RNA
Source: RNAcentral